AAGUAGACAACAAAACAGAGAGCAAAGCACCGAAAUGAGUGUGCGUGCCGCGGUGCCGAGCAAAUCGCAAUUGGGGGAUCCAAAUUCCAAUGACCAGAGUCAAGUUUGUCACUUAUUUCCAAGCAUUAUAGCUCUUAGUACAAAAUAGAGUCUGCAAGAAUGCAAGAACCAUCCACGAAAGUGACCCGCCCAUCCUCUUGAAGGGUGUCUAUCUGCACAAGGGAAAAUGAUAGGCUGCUAAUAACUCAUACUCAUAGUACUGAAGUGGUUAGAAUCAAGAUAAUCAGCGAACGGAAAGUUAGCUAAGGAUUUGGUCCAUAUUCCACAGGAGCGUGGGUUUAAAUCCUGUUGGCAGAUGUGAAACUUUGUUGGAGGGUGAUAUGUAAUUCUUCUCGAAAAUCUUCAAAAAGGUUGGGGAGUCUUCAUUUUUCCUGAUGGAAUAUCGGUAUCUAACCCCAUUUAAACUUUUAGUUAAAAAAAAAUCAAGAUAAUCAUUUCAAAGAAAUAAAUUUGCAGUGUUCUAUUUCUGUAACAUUUGCCUUUAUAUUGAAUAAGUUAGGUAUCCAUUCUCUAAUUGUGUGAUUAUGCAAUAGGCCAACAUUGCCUUCGCAAACAAAUAAAUGUAAGUUAACCA
Long non-coding RNA from Gastrolobium bilobum, 634 nucleotides. RefSeq lists it as uncharacterized. The record is from RefSeq and is a predicted model, not a curated record. The transcript has 3 exons. NCBI's taxonomy places the organism in Eukaryota, Viridiplantae, Streptophyta, Magnoliopsida, Fabales, Fabaceae.